UAGCAGCACGUAAAUAUUGGAGUUAAAACUACUGCUGAAGCCUCCAGUAUUGUUCGUGCUGCUGA
Molecule: microRNA precursor, 65 nt
Filed under: Salmo salar (Atlantic salmon)
Lineage: Eukaryota; Metazoa; Chordata; Actinopteri; Salmoniformes; Salmonidae
Description: microRNA ssa-mir-16a precursor (ssa-mir-16a-1)
Gene: ssa-mir-16a-1
Rfam family: mir-16 microRNA precursor family
About the family: The hairpin precursors (represented here) are predicted based on base pairing and cross-species conservation -- their extents are not known.
Source: miRBase by way of RNAcentral